GAUGAACGCUGGCGGCGUGCCUAAUACAUGCAAGUCGAGCGAACGGACGAGGAGCUUGCUUCUCUGAUGUUAGCGGCGGACGGGUGAGUAACACGUGGAUAACCUACCUAUAGGACUGGGAUAACUUCGGGAAACCGGAUCUAAUACAGGAUAAUAUGUUGAACCGCAUGGUUCAACAGUGAAAGACGGUUUUGCUGUCACUUAUAGAUGGAUCCGCGCUGCAUUAGCUAGUUGGUAAGGUAACGGCUUACCAAGGCAACGAUGCGUAGCCGACCUGAGAGGGUGAUCGGCCACACUGGAACUGAGACACGGUCCAGACUCCUACGGGAGGCAGCAGUAGGGAAUCUUCCGCAAUGGGCGAAAGCCUGACGGAGCAACGCCGCGUGAGUGAUGAAGGUCUUCGGAUCGUAAAACUCUGUUAUUAGGGAAGAACAGAUGUGUAAGUAACUCUGCACGUUUUGACGGUACCUAAUCAGAAAGCCACGGCUAACUACGUG
This 497-nucleotide ribosomal RNA is filed under the name uncultured bacterium. RNAcentral describes it as "partial 16S ribosomal RNA". It matches the Rfam family "Bacterial small subunit ribosomal RNA", at positions 28 to 507 of the family's 1533-position model. The record is from RNAcentral.